RNAcentral lists this ribosomal RNA (408 nucleotides) under uncultured bacterium. RNAcentral's name for it is "partial 16S ribosomal RNA". It matches the Rfam family "Bacterial small subunit ribosomal RNA", at positions 28 to 526 of the family's 1533-position model. The record is from RNAcentral.
GACGAACGCUGCCGGCGUGCUUAACACAUGCAAGUCGACGGGAGUGGCGAACGGGUGAGUAACACGUGAGUAACCUGCCCUUUUCUUUGGGAUAAGCCUGGGAAACUGGGUCUAAUCCUGGAUGGUUUGGGAUGGGCUCGCGGCUUAUCCGCUUGUUGGUGGGGUGAUGGCUUACCCAGGGUUUGACGGGUAGCCGGCUUGAGAGGGUGUACGGUCAAACAGGGGCUUGGGUACGGCCCAGAGACCGACGGGAGGAAGCAGUGGGAGAUAUUGCACAAUGGACGAAAGUCUGAUGCAGCGACGUCGUGUGGGGGAUGAAGGCCUUCGGGUUGUAAACUCCUUACGCCCGCGGAAUGGUAGUGGGUAAAGAAGCGCCGGCUAACUACGUGCCAGCAGCCGCGGUAAUUC